CAAGUCGAACGGGGUUACUCUAGCUAGCAAUAGCCGGAUUAACCUAGUGGCAUACGGGUGCGUAACACGUAGGAAUCUACCCAGAAGUUGGGGAUAGCUCACCGAAAGGUGAAUUAAUACCCGAUGUGAAAUUCGUUUUAAAGCAGGGGACCUUCGGGCCUUGCGCUUCUGGACGAGCCUGCGGCCUAUCAGCUUGUUGGUGAGGUAAUGGCUCACCAAGGCAAUGACGGGUAGCCGGUCUGAGAGGAUGGUCGGCCACACUGGAACUGAGACACGGUCCAGACACCUACGGGUGGCAGCAGUCGAGAAUCAUUCGCAAUGGGGGAAACCCUGACGGUGCGACGCCGCGUGGAGGAUGAAGGCUUUCGGGUUGUAAACUCCUGUCACCAGAGAACAAGGAUGCUGAUCUAAUCACUCAGCAUUUGAUGGUAUCUGGAGAGGAAGGGACGGCUAACUCUGUGCCAGCAGCCGCGGUAAUACAGAGGUCCCGAGCGUUGUUCGGAUUCACUGGGCGUAAAGGGUGAGUAGGAGGCUUGGAAAGUCAGCUGUGAAAACUUCGUGCUCAACGCGGAGCCUGCAACUGAUACUCCCGAGCUCGAGGAUCGGAGGGGCAAACGGAAUUCCAGGUGUAGCAGUGAAAUGCGUAGAUAUCUGGAGGAACACCGGUGGCGAAGGCGGUUUGCUGGACGAUUCCUGACUCUGAAACACGAAAGCUGGGGGAGCAAACGGGAUUAGAUACCCCGGUA
RNAcentral lists this ribosomal RNA (746 nucleotides) under uncultured bacterium. Its description in RNAcentral is "bacterial SSU rRNA". It matches the Rfam family "Bacterial small subunit ribosomal RNA", at positions 58 to 792 of the family's 1533-position model. The record is from RNAcentral.